Molecule: small nuclear RNA, 107 nt
Filed under: Procavia capensis (Cape rock hyrax)
Lineage: Eukaryota; Metazoa; Chordata; Mammalia; Hyracoidea; Procaviidae
Source: RNAcentral
GUGCUUGCUUCGGCAGCACAUAUACUAAAAUUGGAAUGAUACAGAGAAGAUUAGCAUGGCCCCUGUGCAAGGAUGACAUGCAAAUUCAUGAAGAGUUCCAUAUUUUU